GAUGAACGCUGGCGGCGUGCCUAAUACAUGCAAGUCGAGCGAACAGACGAGGAGCUUGCUCCUCUGACGUUAGCGGCGGACGGGUGAGUAACACGUGGAUAACCUACCUAUAAGACUGGGAUAACUUCGGGAAACCGGAGCUAAUACCGGAUAAUAUAUUGAACCGCAUGGCUCAAUAGUGAAAGACGGUUUUGCUGUCACCUAUCGAUGGAUCCGCGCCGCAUUAGCCAGCUGGUAAGGUAACGGAUUACCAAGGCGACGAUGCGUAGCCGACCUGAGAGGGUGAUCGGCCACACUGGAACUGAGACACGGUCCAGACUCCUACGGGAGGCAGCAGUAGGGAAUCUUCCGCAAUGGGCGAAAGCCUGACGGAACAACGCCGCGUGAGUGAUGAAGGUCUUCGGAUCGUAAAACUCUGUUAUUAGGGAAGAACAAAUGUGUAAGUAACUAUGCACGUCUUGACGGUACCUAAUCAGAAAGCCACGGCUAACUACGUG
This 497-nucleotide ribosomal RNA is filed under the name uncultured bacterium. Its description in RNAcentral is "partial 16S ribosomal RNA". It matches the Rfam family "Bacterial small subunit ribosomal RNA", at positions 28 to 507 of the family's 1533-position model. The record is from RNAcentral.